CUCUUACGGGGUGGCUUUUCAGAAGUGUAAAAAGCUUCUGGAAUAAGGGCUGGGCAAGACCGGUGCCAGCCGCCGCGGUAACACCGGCAGCUCAAGUGGUAGCCGCUUUUAUUGGGCCUAAAGCGUCCGUAGCCGGUCUGAUAAGUCUCUGGUGAAAUCCCACAGCUUAACUGUGGGAAUUGCUGGAGAUACUAUCAUGACUCGAGGUCAGGAGAGGCUGGAGGUACUCCCAGGGUAGGGGUGAAAUCCUGUAAUCCUGGGAGGACCACCUGUGGCGAAGGCGUCCAGCUGGAACGAACCUGACGGUGAGGGACGAAAGCCAGGGGCGCGAACCGGAUUAGAUACCCGGGUAGUCCUGGCCGUAAACGAUGUGGACUUGGUGUUGGGAUGGCUUCGAGCUGCCCCAGUGCCGAAGGGAAGCUGUUAAGUCCACCGCCUG
Molecule: ribosomal RNA, 439 nt
Filed under: uncultured Methanothermobacter sp.
Lineage: Archaea; Methanobacteriati; Methanobacteriota; Methanobacteria; Methanobacteriales; Methanobacteriaceae
Description: bacterial SSU rRNA
Rfam family: Archaeal small subunit ribosomal RNA
Source: RNAcentral